RNAcentral lists this non-coding RNA (27 nucleotides) under Mus musculus (house mouse). The record is from RNAcentral. Lineage: Eukaryota; Metazoa; Chordata; Mammalia; Rodentia; Muridae.
GAACAUUGCAUACUUAACGGUGAUGGU